Molecule: non-coding RNA, 155 nt
Filed under: Cyanobium sp. PCC 7001
Lineage: Bacteria; Bacillati; Cyanobacteriota; Cyanophyceae; Synechococcales; Prochlorococcaceae
Also listed under: 1 other name
Source: RNAcentral
CCCAUAGGAUCGGACUCCGGUUCCGCUGGUGAACAGCCAGCGGAGGCAACGGGGAAAGCCGGUGAAAGUCCGGCACUGUCCCGCAGCUGUGAUGGCGGAGUGAGCCUGGCUCGCUCCCGCCCAGUCAGAACGCCCGCCGGUUUUCCUGAUCUCUC